UUAGGUCAAGUUACUAAGAGCAUAUGGUGGAUGCCUUGGCACGAAGAGGCGAAGAAGGACGUGGUAAGCUGCGAUAAGCCUCGGGUAGUUGCAAACAAGCGUUAACCCGGGGAUUUCCGAAUGGGGAAACCCGAUGCCGGUAAUGCGGCAUCAUCCUAUGGGUGAAUUCAUAGCCCGAAGGAAGCGAACGAGGGGAACUGAAACAUCUAAGUACCCUCAGGAAGAGAAAUCGAAGAGAUUCCCUCAGUAGCGGCGAGCGAACGGGGAAGAUUGCUCAAACCGGCCGACACGUUAAAGCAUGCGGGCGUUGUGUCGCCGGGGUAGCGGGAACAUCUCGGGAAAUCUGCAUAUUUCCCAGAGAGUUACAAAACAGCUGGUUAGGCGAAUGAUGUGGAAAUGUCAACCAUAGAAGGCGAAAGUCCUGUAGCCGAAAACUUGCUGCCUCUCGGAUGAAAUCCCAAGUAGGGCGGGUUAAGUGGAAUCCUGUCCGAAUCUGCCCCAACCACGGGGUAAAGCUAAAUACUACUUCGUGACCGAUAGCGAACCAGUACCGUGAGGGAAAGGUGAAAAGUACUCCUGACCGGAGAGUGAAAUAGAACCUGAAACCAUAUGCUUACAAGCUGUGGGAGCCAAACCGUAAGCCUUCGGGCUUACGCAGAGGUGACCGCGUGCCUAUUGAAUAAUGAUCCAGCGAGUUACUGUAUGUUGCAUGGUUAAGCCAGACACUGGCGGAGCCGAAGCGAAAGCGAGUCUGAAACGGGCGUUGGUAGCAUGCAAUAGACCCGAAACUGAGUGAUCUAUGCAUGGCCAGGAUGAAACUCAGGUAAUACUGGGCGGAGGUCCGAACCCACCAGCGUUGAAAAGCUGGGGGAUGAGCUGUGCAUAGGGGUGAAAGGCCAAUCAAACUCAGAGAUAGCUGGUUCUCCCCGAAAUAGUUUUUGGACUAGCCUCGUGUUAGAUUAACGGAGGUAGAGCACUGAAUGGGUUAGGGGCCCUACAAAGGUUACCAACCCCAAUCAAACUCCGAAUUCCGUUAACUCGAUGCACGGGAGUCAGGCAGUGGGGGAUAAGCUUCAUUGCCAAAAGGGAAACAACCCAGACCGCCGGCUAAGGCCCCCAAAUUCGGGCUAAGUGGCAAAGGAUGUGAAAUUACACAGACAGCUAGGAUGUUGGCUUAGAAGCAGCCACCAUUUAAAGAGUGCGUAAUAGCUCACUAGUCAAGUGAUUUUGCGCCGAUAAUCCCCGGGACUAAGCCCGGUGCCGAAGCCGCGGGAUUCCCCGACUUGUCGGGGGAUCGGUAGGGGAGCAUUCUGUAGUAGAUCGAAGCUCGGCCUUAAGGUCGGGUGGACGAGGCAGAAGAGAUUAUGCUGGAACGAGUAGCGAUAAAGGCCGCGAGAAACGGCCUCGCCAAAAGCCUAAGGUUUCCUGAGGAAGGUUAAUCCGCUCAGGGUUAGUCGGACCCUAAACUGAGGCCGAAAGGCGUAAGUGAUGGAAAAGCCGUCAAUAUUCGGCUACCACCCAAGAAGCGUUUGAGCUAUGGGGUAACGCAGGAGUGUAAGGUCAGCCACCUGUUGGAUUAGGUGGUUUAAGCCCGUAGGGAGUGAGGGCAGGCAAAUCCGCCCCCACAUAUCCCGAGAGGUGAUGAGGAGUCCGCAAGGACAUAAACUGGCCCCAAUCAUACUGCCGAGAAAAACCUCUGUGCAAGCUUCAAAGGUGACCGUACCGCAAACCGACACAGGUAGGCAGGGUGAAUAUCCUAAGGCGCUCGAGAGAACCCUUGUUAAGGAACUAGGCAAAAUAACUCCGUAACUUCGGGAGAAGGAGUGCCCCAUAGUACGUGAUCCCCCUGCGGGGUGAGCGGAAUGGGGUCGCAGAUAAAUGGCCUGGGUGACUGUUUACUAAAAACACAUGUCUAUGCUAAGCCGCAAGGCGACGUAUAUGGACUGACACCUGCCCGGUGCUGGAAGGUUAAGAGGAGGGGUCAUCCCGAUUCGUCGGGAGAAGCUCUGAAUCGAAGCCCCAGUAAACGGCGGCCGUAACUAUAACGGUCCUAAGGUAGCGAAAUUCCUUGUCGGGUAAAUUCCGACCUGCACGAAUGGUGUAACAAUUUGGGCGCUGUCUCAACAAGGGGCUCGGCGAAACUGUAGCAGCGGUGAAGAUGCCGUUUACCCGCAUCGGGACGGAAAGACCCCAUGAACCUUUACUGUAACCUGAUAUUGAAUCUUGGUAUAGUACGUGUAGGAUAGGUGGGAGACUAUGAAGCUGGCACGCUAGUGUCGGUGGAGUCACCGGUGAAAUACCACCCUUACUCUAUUGUGGUUCUAACCCAGACCCGUGAAGCCGGGUCGGGAACAGUUUCAGGCGGGCAGUUUAACUGGGGCGGUUGCCUCCCAAAUUGUAACGGAGGCGCCCAAAGGUUCCCUCAGGCUGGAUGGUAAUCAGCUUUAGAGCGUAAAGGUAUAAGGGAGCUUAACUGCGAGACACACAGGUCGAGCAGGUGCGAAAGCAGGGCUUAGUGAUCCGGCGGUUGCACGUGGAAGUGCCGUCGCUCAUCGGACAAAAGGUACUCUGGGGAUAACAGGCUUAUCUCCUCCGAGAGUUCAUAUCGACGAGGGGGUUUGGCACCUCGAUGUCGGCUCAUCACAUCCUGGGGCUGGAGAAGGUC
RNAcentral lists this ribosomal RNA (2665 nucleotides) under candidate division Zixibacteria bacterium CG_4_9_14_3_um_filter_46_8. RNAcentral describes it as "bacterial LSU rRNA". It matches the Rfam family "Bacterial large subunit ribosomal RNA", at positions 1 to 2564 of the family's 2925-position model. Lineage: Bacteria; Pseudomonadati; Candidatus Zixiibacteriota. The record is from RNAcentral.